Molecule: ribosomal RNA, 301 nt
Filed under: uncultured bacterium
Lineage: Bacteria
Description: partial 16S ribosomal RNA
Rfam family: Bacterial small subunit ribosomal RNA
Source: RNAcentral
CAGCAGCCGCGGUAAUACGUAGGGCGCAAGCGUUGUCCGGAAUUAUUGGGCGUAAAGAGCUCGUAGGCGGUCUGUCGCGUCUGGUGUGAAAUCCCGAGGCUCAACCUCGGGCUUGCAUCGGGUACGGGCAGACUAGAGUGCGGUAGGGGAGACUGGAAUUCCUGGUGUAGCGGUGGAAUGCGCAGAUAUCAGGAGGAACACCGAUGGCGAAGGCAGGUCUCUGGGCCGCAACUGACGCUGAGGAGCGAAAGCAUGGGGAGCGAACAGGAUUAGAUACCCCUGUAGUCCCUGUCUCUUAUAC